RNAcentral lists this ribosomal RNA (455 nucleotides) under uncultured archaeon. RNAcentral's name for it is "bacterial SSU rRNA". It matches the Rfam family "Archaeal small subunit ribosomal RNA", at positions 885 to 1339 of the family's 1478-position model. The record is from RNAcentral.
GGGGUGAAGCCUGCGGUUCAAUUGGAGUCAACGCCAGGAAACUUACCAGGAGAGACAGCAGGUUGAGGGUCAGUCUGAAGAACUUACCUGACGAGCUGAGAGGAGGUGCAUGGCCGUCGCCAGCUCGUGCCGUGAGGCGUCCUGUUAAGUCAGGCAACGAGCGAGACCCCUAUCGGUAAUUGCUAACUGCCCAGAGAUGGGCAGAGGCUAGUUACAGAGACUGCCGUUGAUAAAACGGAGGAAGGAAGGGGCCACGGCAGGUCAGUAUGCCCCGAAACUCCUGGGCCACACGCGGGCUGCAAUGGUAGGGACAAUAGGUUCCGACCUCGAAAGAGGAAGGCAAUCCCCAAACCCUACCCCAGUUGUGAUCGAGGAUUGAAACCCGUCCUCGUGAAUAUGGAAUCCCUAGUAACCGCGUGUCAUCACCGCGCGGUGAAUACGUCCCUGCUCCUUGU